GGGGAUCUGCCCGAUAGAGGGGGAUAACCACUGGAAACGGUGGCUAAUACCGCAUAACGUCGCAAGACCAAAGAGGGGGACCUUCGGGCCUCUCACUAUCGGAUGAACCCAGAUGGGAUUAGCUAGUAGGCGGGGUAAUGGCCCACCUAGGCGACGAUCCCUAGCUGGUCUGAGAGGAUGACCAGCCACACUGGAACUGAGACACGGUCCAGACUCCUACGGGAGGCAGCAGUGGGGAAUAUUGCACAAUGGGCGCAAGCCUGAUGCAGCCAUGCCGCGUGUAUGAAGAAGGCCUUCGGGUUGUAAAGUACUUUCAGCGGGGAGGAAGGCGACGGGGUUAAUAACCCUGUCGAUUGACGUUACCCGCAGAAGAAGCACCGGCUAACUCCGUGCCAGCAGCCGCGGUAAUACGGAGGGUGCAAGCGUUAAUCGGAAUUACUGGGCUUAAAGCGCACGCAGGCGGUCUGUUAAGUCAGAUGUGAAAUCCCCGGGCUUAACCUGGGAACUGCAUUUGAAACUGGCAGGCUUGAGUCUUGUAGAGGGGGGUAGAAUUCCAGGU
RNAcentral lists this ribosomal RNA (559 nucleotides) under uncultured bacterium. RNAcentral's name for it is "bacterial SSU rRNA". It matches the Rfam family "Bacterial small subunit ribosomal RNA", at positions 120 to 674 of the family's 1533-position model. The record is from RNAcentral.